Molecule: ribosomal RNA, 232 nt
Filed under: Clostridioides difficile
Lineage: Bacteria; Bacillati; Bacillota; Clostridia; Peptostreptococcales; Peptostreptococcaceae
Description: partial 23S ribosomal RNA
Rfam family: Bacterial large subunit ribosomal RNA
Source: RNAcentral
AGAAGGGAUGACACAGUAGGAUAAGCUAAGCACACUGUUGGUUAUGUGUGCCCAAGCAUUGAGGCAGUCAAAGUAGGCAAAUCCGCUUUGAUAAUGCUGGGAUGGGAUGGGGAGCGAAAUUUAGUAGCGAAGUAGCUGAUUUCACACUGUCAAGAAAAGUCUCUAUCGAGGUUAAAGGUACCCGUACCGCAAACCGACACAGGUGGGUGAGGAGAGUAUCCUAAGGCCAGCG